AGAGCGAACGCUGGCGGCAGGCCUAACACAUGCAAGUCGAGCGCUCCGCAAGGGGAGCGGCAGACGGGAGAGUAACACGUGGGAACGUACCCUUCAGUUCGGAACAACCCAGGGAAACUUGUGCUAAUACCGGAUAAGCCCUUACGGGGAAAGAUUUAUCGCCGAAAGAUUGGCCCGCGUCUGAUUAGCUAGUUGGUGAGGUAACGGCUCACCAAGGCGACGAUCAGUAGCUGGUCUGAGAGGAUGAUCAGCCACAUUGGGACUGAGACACGGCCCAAACUCCUACGGGAGGCAGCAGUGGGGAAUAUUGGACAAUGGGCGCAAGCCUGAUCCAGCCAUGCCGCGUGAGUGAUGAAGGCCCUAGGGUUGUAAAGCUCUUUGUGCGGGAAGAUAAUGACGGUACCGCAAGAUAAGCCCGGCUAACUUCGUGCCAGCAGCCGC
RNAcentral lists this ribosomal RNA (441 nucleotides) under uncultured bacterium. RNAcentral's name for it is "SSU rRNA". It matches the Rfam family "Bacterial small subunit ribosomal RNA", at positions 26 to 518 of the family's 1533-position model. The record is from RNAcentral.